This 612-nucleotide ribosomal RNA is filed under the name Paraplatyarthrus sp. 5 MJ-2015. Its description in RNAcentral is "eukaryotic LSU rRNA". It matches the Rfam family "Eukaryotic large subunit ribosomal RNA", at positions 151 to 664 of the family's 3401-position model. Lineage: Eukaryota; Metazoa; Arthropoda; Malacostraca; Isopoda; Paraplatyarthridae. The record is from RNAcentral.
GAGGGAUCAAGAGGGUGCUAGACUCGGCCUGAAGUAUUUAUUGAAUGUUGUCACACUGCCCAUAGAGGGUGUAAGGCCCGUAAGGCCGGCGUCUAGAUUACCUCGCUGGUUCCUCUCGAGAGUCGGGUUGCUUGAAAGUGCAGCCCUAAGUAGGUGGUAAACUCCAUCUAAGGCUAAAUAUUCCCACGAGACCGAUAGCGAACAAGUACCGCGAGGGAAAGUUGAAAAGAACUUUGAAAAGAGAGUUCAAUAGAGCGUGAAACUACCACGAGGCUAAAGCGAGUGAGCGUACGUAUCCGAACGGUUUGAUUCAGUCCGCCCGAGCACGAUGAGCAGUGGGGGGUCGUAAUACGUCAUUAACGGAUCUCCCGAAAGGAUCCGAGCUUUACGCUCGGCCUCUAGGGUGACCGGCGUAUCCUCCGCUUUGCUCUGUAGGGGGACGCAUUUCCGGCCGAAGUAGGGCGUCGCGGCCGUUUCGGGGGUGUCUAAGACACGGGGGUCUUGGAAUCCGCAUCUUCUCGUCCCGGCGCGCUCUACCGCCUCGCCUUCGCGGAGGGGCGGCAUCACGCCGGGGUCGCGAGUCGAGCGGGGCCGCCUCGUUGAUCUGACGGC